AUAGGUGGGAGAAUCCAUUUGACUUAUAAUAUCCUUAAUAUUUCUCCAUUUUUCCAAUGUGAGACAAUUAGUUCAUGACAAUCGCCUCUGCUUGAGAACUAACGACCUCGUUGGUUACGGCUGGUACCCCUCUUAGGUCCAGGCCACCACUUCUGGCACACAGGACACCACUCCGAGUAGUGUCUCCACACGUGGAUAGAUUCUCGUUGGUCACGGCUAUGCUCAGUUGGUCAUGGUUGGCACCCCUCUUGGGUCCAGGCCACCACUCCGAGUCACGGCCCAACUCACAGCUCCCCACACGUGGAUCGAUCCUCGUUGAUCAUGGCUAUGCCCAGUUGGUCACAGCUGCCACCCCUCUUGGGUCCAAGCUACCACUCCGAAUCACGGCCCAACGCGUGGAACUCUCAAUGAAAGCACCAAUGUUAUAAACCAAACGGGAGAGCCCAAC
RNAcentral lists this long non-coding RNA (448 nucleotides) under Capsicum annuum. Its description in RNAcentral is "long non-coding RNA (CANN_LNC021005)". The record is from RNAcentral. Lineage: Eukaryota; Viridiplantae; Streptophyta; Magnoliopsida; Solanales; Solanaceae.